CUUCAUUUCUUUCUUCUCUUCUUUCUUCUUCUCGUCUCUUCUUCUUCCCUUCUUCUGUUGCCGACGAUUGUGAGUGAGAUUUAAGAAUUCUGUUGAGAGAAUCAAUCGACGAGGAAGAACUGAUGCAGUAGAAGUUGUUGCUGGUGUUGAUAAGAUUGAGAGUGGUACAGAUGUUUAAGGAAGCAGAAUUAGGGUUUUGAGAUGAAUUUUGGAGCCGUAUGAAAUUGAUAGGCUAAAUCGAAGUAUAAAUGGAUGUAGAAUGAAGGGUUAUUGCUGAAUUAAAGUUUAAAGUUGAUGAAUAAUUUGGGAAUCGAUAGUUAGAGUUUUGAAUUGGAAACCGAGGUUGAUGAAUUGAAGCUGAUAAUGAAGAAAAGGCAAGGAAGAUGAAAUUGAUGGAGUUUGAUUCUGAUAUGGUUUUUCCUGAAUUUGGGUUAGUGACGAAUUGAUGAGAUGAAUAUGUUUCGGAGAAGAAUCAAAGACAAGGUAAUUUACGGUUUCAUAAUUGAGUUUUUUGUUUGGUGUGAAUUAAUCUAAAUCGAUGAUUCGGUGGUGGGUUUAUUUCUGAUUUGAGUAGAAAUGGUUGCAUGAAGUUCAAUUCUGAUUCAAGGGGAAUUAAGGCCUAUUAUUUCUUAAUUAGGUUACGACAUCCUAGUGUUUGAAUAUUUUUCAUGAGAUAGAAGAAAAUUUAGAUAUCAUUGGUGGUGUUGUGUGAAGUUUAUGUAAAUGUGGUUGUAGCCCGGAUUUGGUUGAAUUACAGGGGAGAUGACUAACAGAGGAGGCCUGAUGUGUACUAGAAUGGGUGAAUUGAUAACUGGUGAUGUUUGGUGUUGAUGUGGGUUAUUGAGUUGGGGUUUAAAUGAAAGAAUGAUAUUAUGUUUGGGUCUCUUAAUGAAAUUGUUGAGAAUGGUGUGUACAGAUUAGGCUUGUGUUGUGAAAUUGAGUAAGAGAAUGGUUUUGUUGUGUUGUGUUUGUGUUGAACUGAGGUGCAGAGUUAUUGGGCAAUGAUGGUGUUUUGUCUAUGGGUAUUGGUACCGUUGUGGAUUUCAGGAAAGAGGAAUGAUAAGUUAAUGUGAAGUUUAGAGUGAGAUUUGAACUGUUGUUACAAAUGAAGUUUGGAUCAAGAACUAUAUAUGAAGUUGGAGUUAGAGUCAGUGGUAGUGUUAUUGGUGUUUGGUAUGGUGUCGAGAAUUGGCUGAAGUGACAAUGAUGUUGCUGCUGGAAUUCGAGUUGAGUGUGCAGAUUUUCUUGUGUGGGUAGUAUUGUUGUUGUAUGAGUUGUGUGGUUUUGGAUGAAACUGAGUUUGUUUUCUUUAAAAUUCCAAUGGGGUAGAACUUUAAUUCGAUGGUCGUAAACUCAUCAUGUGUUUGUUUGUUGAACUUCUUUUGUAUCUGACAUGCUAGUUGGUUUGAAAACUUCAUCUCUCAAUUCACAGGGAAAUUCCCUACUAUUGAUUCUGUAGGAGUUGAGAAAAUUCUGUGUCAUAGCUUUAAACUAUCCAGAACUGAGAAAAAAAUUCUUUAUUGGUUCUUAAUCAUUCCGUGUCAUAAAUUUAAGCUUUCCAGAUUUUAGAAGAAAAUUCUCUAUUGGUUUUUAAUUAUAGUUGAAGCCUUUAUCGUUUAAACUUCAUGGCAGCUGAGCCAAGGGUAGUAAGUACCAAAAUGAUAUAUACAGAACCUGUAAUGCUCCCACAACUUUCCACCAACGUAUUUUUCUUAUGUUUAGCAUCAUAUAUCUGAAUAUUGUAUGUAUGCUUUAGAAACGAUCUAAUUUGAUUUUCUAUUUUGCACAUUCUUAUAAUUUAAAUGCUUAACAUUAUUAAUCUAAUCAUAUCCCUCAACUCUCGCUUUUCCGGGGGCGUUGAUGCUGUUUUUGAUGCCACAGAUUGGAACCGGAAAAUUAGUGUGCUUGUAACGGCAAUAAGGCAGAUACUCAUACAACGAUAUUUCUUACAGACUUCUUUCAUGAAGGUUUUUUCUACAGCUCAGUUACUGCAUUCAGGAUGGAAAAUAGUUAUGGAGCAUUGAGGGAUGCUUUGAUUUCUUUCUCAAAGGUCUUGUGCUUGGAGAAGGAAGAAAGUGAAGUGUGUGUUCGAGUUAUUUGUGCGUGGGUAUAUUGUUUCUAAAUUGUAUAACUCUUCAAUAACAUGGAUUCUAUUCUAAGUUCAUUUGAUUGUGUAAAUUUUUAAACUUGUAAUGGAUUCUCAGUUUGUAUGAUUGCAAAAGUGGUUUAUAUGUCAUGUCUGAUAGUUUCUCA
Long non-coding RNA from Papaver somniferum (opium poppy), 2253 nucleotides. RefSeq lists it as uncharacterized. NCBI's taxonomy places the organism in Eukaryota, Viridiplantae, Streptophyta, Magnoliopsida, Ranunculales, Papaveraceae. The transcript has 3 exons. The record is from RefSeq and is a predicted model, not a curated record.